RNAcentral lists this long non-coding RNA (374 nucleotides) under Vulpes vulpes (red fox). Its description in RNAcentral is "lncRNA (ENSVVUG00000011057.1)". Lineage: Eukaryota; Metazoa; Chordata; Mammalia; Carnivora; Canidae. The record is from RNAcentral.
GCAGAGAUAGACAAGCUCCGGGUCUGAAGGCACUUUCCAAUGCACCACCAGCCCCUUUUUUCCUGCUGGCUCUAACUACGAAGCACAUUGCUUACAGUCCUGCCUGUGGGUGGAGCUUGGAGCUGAGAAAUGCGAGGGGGAUGGAGAGAGGGCUUGAGGAGAAAGAGCAUUAGUAAUGCUCCAGAAAAGAGUUAACAGUGAAGCUGUGAAGUGAGCAUGCAAAAAUUAUCCCUACCUCCAGGACAAAGGAUUCCUAUUUCAACAGCAAACUUGCAGGUCAUCUCUUCCAGAUGUAUGAAGGUAUGAGAGAAGAAGCUGCCUGACCACUAAGGACAUCAACGAGAGGCAAGAAAUAAAUUUGAGUUAAGCCACCA